RNAcentral lists this transfer RNA (72 nucleotides) under Ovis aries (sheep). It matches the Rfam family "tRNA". From Rfam's summary of the family: Transfer RNA (tRNA) molecules are approximately 80 nucleotides in length. Their secondary structure includes four short double-helical elements and three loops (D, anti-codon, and T loops). The record is from Rfam by way of RNAcentral. Lineage: Eukaryota; Metazoa; Chordata; Mammalia; Artiodactyla; Bovidae.
UCCCUGGUGGCUCAGAGGUUAAAGCGUCUGCCUGCAAUGCAGGAGACCAGGGUUUGAUCCCUGGGUUGGGAA